Molecule: unclassified non-coding RNA, 299 nt
Filed under: Hevea brasiliensis (rubber tree)
Lineage: Eukaryota; Viridiplantae; Streptophyta; Magnoliopsida; Malpighiales; Euphorbiaceae
Source: RNAcentral
UAUAGGAGGCGGCGGAGGAGGCGAGUGGGGUUUGGAGGGGUGGAGCCAGGGCUUGGAAGUAAUGGGAAUUCGAGUUCCGGGUCGAGAGGGGAGUAUGUUUCGUUGGCUCAACUGGAGGAAGAUGGAACCAGUGUUGCAAAGCAUCUGGAAUCUGCGAACACAAUGUUUUCUUUUAUCUGGUGGAUCAUUGGGUUUUAUUGGGUGUCUGCUGGCGGCCAAGCUUUGGCUCGUGGCUCCCCUCAACUCUACUGGCUUUGCAUAAUUUUUCUUGGUUUUGAUGUGUUCUUUGUCGUUUUCUG